Molecule: ribosomal RNA, 792 nt
Filed under: Bacillus sp. CUL-LABLG8X8
Lineage: Bacteria; Bacillati; Bacillota; Bacilli; Caryophanales; Bacillaceae
Description: bacterial SSU rRNA
Rfam family: Bacterial small subunit ribosomal RNA
Source: RNAcentral
UUAGAGUUUGAUCUAGACUCAGGACGAACGUCUGGCGGCGUGCCUAAUACAUGCAAGUCGAGCGGACAGAAGGGAGCUUGCUCCCGGAUGUCACCUGCGGACGGGUGAGUAACACGUGGGUAACCUGCCUGUAAGACUGGGAUAACUCCGGGAAACCGGAGCUAAUACCGGAUAGUUCCUUGAACUCGCAUGGUUCAAGGAUGAAAGAUGGUUUCGCCUGUCACUUACAGAUGGACCCGCGUCGCAUUAGCUAGUUGGUGGGGUAAUGGCUCACCAAGGCGACGAUGCGUAGCCGACCUGAGAGGGUGAUCGGCCACACUGGGACUGAGACACGGCCCAGACUCCUACGGGAGGCAGCAGUAGGGAAUCUUCCGCAAUGGACGAAACUCUGACGGAGCAACGCCGCGUGAGUGAUGAAGGUUUUCGGAUCGUAAACCUCUGUUGUUAGGGAAGAACAAGUGCGAGAGUAACUGCUCGCUCCUUGACGGUACCUAACCAGAAAGCCACGGCUAACUACGUGCCAGCAGCCGCGGUAAUACGUAGGUGGCAAGCGUUGUCCGGAAUUAUUGGGCGUAAAGGGCUCGCAGGCGGUUUCUUAAGUCUGAUGUGAAAUCCCCCGGCUCAACCGGGGAAGGGUCAUUUGGAAACUGGGAAACUUGAGUGCAGAAGAGGAUGAGUGGAAUUCCAGCGUGUAGCGGUGAAAUGCGUAGAGGAUUGUGGAGGAAUCACCCAGUGGCGAAGGGCGACUCUCUGGUCUGUAACUGACGCUGAGGAGCGAAAGGCCGUGGGAGC